Molecule: unclassified non-coding RNA, 253 nt
Filed under: uncultured Elusimicrobia bacterium
Lineage: Bacteria; Pseudomonadati; Elusimicrobiota; Elusimicrobia
Description: contains 16S-23S intergenic spacer region
Rfam family: Bacterial small subunit ribosomal RNA
Source: RNAcentral
UACGAAGGUGGCAAGCGUUACUCGGAAUUACUAGGCGUAAAGCGCAGGUAGGCGGUUCGAUAAGUCCUUUGUGAAAGCUCCCGGCUUAACUGGGAGAGGCCAAGGGAUACUGUUGGACUCGAGUGUGGUAGAGGAAACUGGAAUUCCCGGUGUAGCGGUGAAAUGCGUAGAUAUCGGGAGGAAUACCUAUGGCGAAAGCAGGUUUCUGGGCCAUCACUGACGCUGAGCUGCGAAAGCUAGGGGAGCAAACAGG